UUACACGCUUCAGCAGUACAUGCACUAAAGUUGGAAUGAUACAGAGAAGAUUAGCAUGGCCCCAGUGCAAGGAUGACACACAACUAGUUCUGAAGACGGGUUUGAAUCCAAUGCUU
RNAcentral lists this unclassified non-coding RNA (116 nucleotides) under Cimex lectularius (bed bug). Lineage: Eukaryota; Metazoa; Arthropoda; Insecta; Hemiptera; Cimicidae. The record is from RNAcentral.